AACGAACGCUGGCGGCAUGCCUAACACAUGCAAGUCGAACGAGACCUUCGGGUCUAGUGGCGCACGGGUGCGUAACGCGUGGGAACCUGCCCUUAGGUUCGGAAUAACUCCCCGAAAGGGGUGCUAAUACCGGAUAAUGUCUUCGGCCCAAAGAUUUAUCGCCUUUGGAUGGGCCCGCGUUGGAUUAGCUAGUUGGUAGGGUAAAAGCCUACCAAGGCGACGAUCCAUAGCUGGUCUGAGAGGAUGAUCAGCCACGCUGGGACUGAGACACGGCCCAGACUCCUACGGGAGGCAGCAGUGGGGAAUAUUGGACAAUGGGCGAAAGCCUGAUCCAGCAAUGCCGCGUGAGUGAUGAAGGCCUUAGGGUUGUAAAGCUCUUUUACCCGGGAUGAUAAUGACAGUACCGGGAGAAUAAGCUCCGGCUAACUCCGUG
Molecule: ribosomal RNA, 433 nt
Filed under: uncultured bacterium
Lineage: Bacteria
Description: partial 16S ribosomal RNA
Rfam family: Bacterial small subunit ribosomal RNA
Source: RNAcentral